UCAGUUGGUCGGAUAGCCGCUCCCAGCAAUGGGGGAGGAAAGUCCGGACAUCACGGAAACAAAGUGCCGGGUAACACCCGGGCGGCGUAAGCCGACGGAAAGUGCAACAGAAAAUAAACCGCCGAUGGUUCCCAUACACGUGAUGGGAAAACAGGUAAGGGCGAAACGGUGCGGUAAGAGCGCACCGCUUGGCUGGUAACAGACAAGGCAUGGCAAACCCCACUUGAUGCAAGACCAAAUAGGCCUUCGUUUGAUGUGUUUCCCAUUAGUUGCUUGCAGCUGCGAAGGCGGGUUGGUUGCUCGAGCUAUUUAGCGAUAAAUAGCCCAGAUGAAUGGUUAUCCCUCUUCGGAGGACAGAAUCCGGCUUAUAGACCGACUGACAUU
This 384-nucleotide RNase P RNA is filed under the name Alphaproteobacteria bacterium. RNAcentral's name for it is "RNase P RNA component class A". It matches the Rfam family "Bacterial RNase P class A". Rfam says of the family: Ribonuclease P (RNase P) is a ubiquitous endoribonuclease, found in archaea, bacteria and eukarya as well as chloroplasts and mitochondria. The record is from RNAcentral. Lineage: Bacteria; Pseudomonadati; Pseudomonadota; Alphaproteobacteria.